RNAcentral lists this ribosomal RNA (465 nucleotides) under uncultured bacterium. RNAcentral describes it as "partial 16S ribosomal RNA". It matches the Rfam family "Bacterial small subunit ribosomal RNA", at positions 28 to 507 of the family's 1533-position model. The record is from RNAcentral.
GACGAACGCUGGCGGCGUGCUUAACACAUGCAAGUCGAACGGAAAGGCCCUGCUUGCAGGGUACUCGAGUGGCGAACGGGUGAGUAACACGUGGGUGAUCUGCCCUGCACUUCGGGAUAAGCCUGGGAAACUGGGUCUAAUACCGGAUAGGAGCCAUAUUUAGCGUGAUGGUUGGAAAGUUUUGUCGGUGUUGGAUGAGCUCGCGGCCUAUCGGCUUGUUGGUGGGGUAAUGGCCUACCAAGGCGGCGUCGGGUAGCCGGCCUGUGGGGGUGGACGGCCACCUAGGGACCGAGGUGCGGCCCAGACUCCGACUGGAGGCAGCAGUGGGGAAUAUUGCACAAUGGGCGCAAGCCUGAUGCAGCGACGCCGCGUGGGGGAUGACUGCCUUCGGGUUGUAAACUCCUUUCGCUAGGGACGAAGCUUUUUGUGACGGUACCUAGAUAAGAAGCACCGGCUAACUACGUG